This 253-nucleotide ribosomal RNA is filed under the name uncultured bacterium. RNAcentral describes it as "partial 16S ribosomal RNA". It matches the Rfam family "Bacterial small subunit ribosomal RNA", at positions 524 to 776 of the family's 1533-position model. The record is from RNAcentral.
UACAGAGGGUGCAAGCGUUGUUCGGAAUUAUUGGGCGUAAAGGGCGCGUAGGCGGCUUGAUGUGUCAAAGGUGAAAUCCCUCGGCUCAACUGAGGAACUGCCUUUGAAACUGUCUGGCUUGAGGCCGGGAGAGGGUAGCGGAAUUCCCAGUGUAGCGGUGAAAUGCGUAGAUACUGGGAGGAACACCGGUGGCGAAGGCGGCUACCUGGGCCGGUUCUGACGCUGAUGCGCGAAAGCGUGGGUAGCAAACAGG